This 450-nucleotide ribosomal RNA is filed under the name uncultured bacterium. RNAcentral describes it as "partial 16S ribosomal RNA". It matches the Rfam family "Bacterial small subunit ribosomal RNA", at positions 354 to 796 of the family's 1533-position model. The record is from RNAcentral.
GUGGGGAAUAUUGGACAAUGGGCGAAAGCCUGAUCCAGCCAUGCCGCGUGUGUGAAGAAGGUCUUCGGAUUGUAAAGCACUUUAAGUUGGGAGGAAGGGCAGUAAGUUAAUACCUUGCUGUUUUGACGUUACCGACAGAAUAAGCACCGGCUAACUUCGUGCCAGCAGCCGCGGUAAUACGAAGGGUGCAAGCGUUAAUCGGAAUUACUGGGCGUAAAGCGCGCGUAGGUGGUUUUGUAAGUUGGAGGUGAAAUCCCCGGGCUCAACCUGGGUACUGCCUCCAAAACUGCAUGACUAGAGUACGUUAGAGGGUAGUGGAAUUUCCUGUGUAGCGGAGAAAUGCGUAUAUAUAGGAAGGAACACCAGUGGCGAAGGCGACUACCUGGACUGAUACUGACACUGAGGUGCGAAAGCGUGGGGAGCAAACAGGAUUAGAAACCCCAGUAGUCC